GAGUUUGAUUCUGGCUCAGAUUGAACGCUGGCGGCAUGCUUUACACAUGCAAGUCGAACGGCAGCACGGAAGAGCUUGCUCUUUUGGUGGCGAGUGGCGAACGGGUGAGUAACGCAUCGGAACGUACCGAGUAGUGGGGGAUAACUGUCCGAAAGGAUGGCUAAUACCGCAUAUUCUCUGAGGAGGAAAGCAGGGGACCUUCGGGCCUUGCGCUAUUUGAGCGGCCGAUGUCUGAUUAGCUAGUUGGUGGGGUAAAGGCCUACCAAGGCGACGAUCAGUAGCGGGUCUGAGAGGAUGAUCCGCCACACUGGGACUGAGACACGGCCCAGACUCCUACGGGAGGCAGCAGUGGGGAAUUUUGGACAAUGGGGGGAACCCUGAUCCAGCCAUGCCGCGUGUCUGAAGAAGGCCUUCGGGUUGUAAAGGACUUUUGUCAGGGAAGAAAAGCUUGAGAUUAAUACCCUUGAG
RNAcentral lists this ribosomal RNA (468 nucleotides) under Neisseria animaloris. RNAcentral's name for it is "bacterial SSU rRNA". It matches the Rfam family "Bacterial small subunit ribosomal RNA", at positions 9 to 473 of the family's 1533-position model. Lineage: Bacteria; Pseudomonadati; Pseudomonadota; Betaproteobacteria; Neisseriales; Neisseriaceae. The record is from RNAcentral.